RNAcentral lists this ribosomal RNA (441 nucleotides) under uncultured bacterium. RNAcentral describes it as "bacterial SSU rRNA". It matches the Rfam family "Bacterial small subunit ribosomal RNA", at positions 338 to 795 of the family's 1533-position model. The record is from RNAcentral.
CCUACGGGGGGCAGCAGUCGAGAAUCUUCCGCAAUGGGCGAAAGCCUGACGGAGCAAUGCCGCGUGAGGGAAGAAUGCCUUCGGGUUGUAAACCUCUGUCACCCGGGACGAAAUUUGACGGUACCGGGAGAGGAAGUCACGGCUAACUACGUGCCAGCAGCCGCGGUAACACGUAGGUGGCAAGCGUUAUUCGGAUUUACUGGGCGUAAAGGGUCCGCAGGGGGCCUGACAAGUCUGUCGUGAAAGGCCAAGGCUCAACCUUGGCACUGCGGUGGAAACAGUCGGGCUAGAGUCAGUGAGGGGCAGACGGAACACCUGGUGUAGCGGUGGAAUGCGUAGAUAUCAGGUGGAACACCUAUGGCGAAGGCGGUCUGCUGGCACAUGACUGACCCUCAGGGACGAAAGCGUGGGUAGCAAACAGGAUUAGAUACCCGAGUAGUC